CAGUCGAGGGGCAGCGGGGGUAGCAAUACCCGCCGGCGACCGGCGCACGGGUGAGUAACGCGUAUGCAACUUACCUAUCAGAGGGGGAUAACCCGGCGAAAGUCGGACUAAUACCGCAUGAAGCAGGGGCCCCGCAUGGGGAUAUUUGCUAAAGAUUCAUCGCUGAUAGAUAGGCAUGCGUUCCAUUAGGCAGUUGGCGGGGUAACGGCCCACCAAACCGACGAUGGAUAGGGGUUCUGAGAGGAAGGUCCCCCACAUUGGUACUGAGACACGGACCAAACUCCUACGGGAGGCAGCAGUGAGGAAUAUUGGUCAAUGGGCGCGAGCCUGAACCAGCCAAGUCGCGUGAGGGAUGAAGGUUCUAUGGAUCGUAAACCUCUUUUAUAAGGGAAUAAAGUGCGGGACGUGUCCUGUUUUGUAUGUACCUUAUGAAUAAGGAUCGGCUAACUCCGUGCCAGCAGCCGCGGUAAUACGGAGGAUCCGAGCGUUAUCUGGAUUUAUUGGGUUUAAAGGGUGCGUAGGCGGCCUUUUAAGUCAGCGGUGAAAGUCUGUGGCUCAACCAUAGAAUUGCCGUUGAAACUGGGGGGCUUGAGUAUGUUUGAGGCAGGCGGAAUGCGUGGUGUAGCGGUGAAAUGCUUAGAUAUCACGCAGAACCCCGAUUGCGAAGGCAGCCUGCCAAGCCAUGACUGACGCUGAUGCACGAAAGCGUGGGGAUCAAACAGGAUUAGAUACCCUGGUAGUCCACGCAGUAAACGAUGAUCACUAGCUGUUUGCGAUACACUGUAAGCGGCACAGCGAAAGCGUUAAGUGA
This 811-nucleotide ribosomal RNA is filed under the name uncultured bacterium. RNAcentral's name for it is "bacterial SSU rRNA". It matches the Rfam family "Bacterial small subunit ribosomal RNA", at positions 59 to 867 of the family's 1533-position model. The record is from RNAcentral.